UACGUAGGGGACAAGCGUUGUCCGGAUUUACUGGGCGUAAAGAGCGCGCAGGCGGUCGGUCAAGUCGAGUGUGAAAGCCCCCGGCUCAACUGGGGAGGGUCAUUCGAAACUGGUCGACUCGAAGGCAGGAGAGGGUAGUGGAAUUCCCGGUGUAGUGGUGAAAUGCGUAGAUAUCGGGAGGAACACCAGUGGCGAAGGCGACUACCUGGCCUGUUCUUGACGCUGAGGCGCGAAAGCUAGGGGAGCAAACGGG
RNAcentral lists this ribosomal RNA (253 nucleotides) under uncultured bacterium. RNAcentral's name for it is "partial 16S ribosomal RNA". It matches the Rfam family "Bacterial small subunit ribosomal RNA", at positions 524 to 776 of the family's 1533-position model. The record is from RNAcentral.